AAGGCCUGUUCAAAACCCGUCCGUGGUCUCCAUUGUCCCCAGGACAAAGUCCCAGGUCGGCAGCCUGGCGUCUGAGGGCCUGGCCCUGCUCACAACCCACCCUCUAUUUCUCCUCCCUCCGGUGGCCUCAGUUUCCCAAACAUGCCAUUGGAGUGCCCUUCUCUGCCCCAUCUACUCGCCUGCCCGCCUCACAAUGCAUUGCACGUGCUCUGUGGGUGGCGGUUCAGCUCAGCCAGCACCGGCUGGGAGGAGAGGAGACCCCCCAGAGAGGCCAGGUGUGAAACCACCAACGUGGUCACCGCCAGUGCCACCCUGCCCGGCCCCGGCAGCGUCCUCGCCUGCCCACCCCCAGCCCGUCCUUCCGACCCCAGCUCAGGUGCCAACUCUUCUGUCCCGUCUCUCUCCGUUCUGCUCUCUCCCUCCUCUGCUCCCCCACAACCACUUAAAACGGCAUGAGUGUGACAGAGGGGGAUGGAAGCUGGCAGAGAUGUGAAUGAGAAAAGAGGGAGAGUUGGGAUGGGGAAAGAGACUCCCCAAGAAAGCACAGGAAGAGGCAGGAAGAGGGAGUGGACGAGAAACCCAGUCCGAGAGAAAGACGGCAGAGGCACCAGCAAGAGAAACAAUGAAGAGAUGCAGAGCCUGAGAGACAGGGAUCCAGGGGCGGGGACCAGGACACAGGCUGGGAAGGAGCUGAAGGUCUAGAGACCAAGACACCCAGGACCCCAGCCCACUGAGGGACACCCCGGUUCCCCCCAACUCCAGCCUCCGUCUCUGCAGCUUCCAAGCCUCCCCUCGACCCGCUAGUCCUUUGGAAUUGUCCCCACCCUGCCUCCCCUGCUGGCCUCCUCUCUGCCCAGGCCGGUUGCCCAGCCUCCCCCACCCCCACUUCCUGGAUGGAGCCAGAGGCCCCUGGUACUCAAAGGGUUUUCCUGAUGCUCUCAAGGUGGUUCUGGAAGGGGGCCUCCAGAAACAACUGAGGAGGAGGUGGAGGCCAGAAAGGGAAUAGACUAGCGCAGGCCACACCGAGAGUCAGGGAGGGAGUGGUCUGCUGACCACAGUCCAGAAUCCUUAAACCACGGGCAAGAGAGAGACACAGACCGGCAGCCGCACAGACUCAUUCACAUCCUCAUUGCUGACACAACGCACAAAGACCAAGAUUACAGAAUAUUCCCAGACACCCCCAGACACCAAACACUCAGACCAAGACUCCUCUCCCAAAUCCACAGACGCACACCUGGCCCAAGAGGGAAAUACAGGGUCGCUACAGAAAAACAAACAAACAAACGUACGGACACGGGCCUCGCAAACAACACCGGCUCAGGGAUGCAGAUUGCAGACCAGGAGAGACACAAUUACACGCAGACAACACAGACAGACCGCAUCACCGAAACCCACCGCAUCCACUCCUGACCCUUCUCAAUUUUGCUCCGGCUCCUGACCCAUGAGUCCAGCCAGAGCCCGGGCCACAGAAGGACAUUGGCCCAGGCUCUGCCCUCGGGGGCUCCGGGUCAGAGGAAAGAGAGACGGUUGCAGCCUGGGGUGAUGGGGGCCAAGACCUGCGCAAAUGUGUCCGAUGAGGCUGCCACGCUCCAGGGGCACUUCUCCCAGCUCCUCAGCACCAGCCAGAGAGAGGCUGCACCCUUGCCUGUCUGCCAAGCCUCCGCUGCCCUCUUCACUCAUUGCAUACUCGGCACCUCUCCAGGCCCCGUCUUGAGCUGACUGCUGGGAACACAGCAACGACCAGGACAGCCCCGGGGUUCUGCCCUCGCAGGACUCGGAGUCCAAUGAGGGAGUCAGAUCCAUCCCCAGGCAGUGGUGACCAGAGCAGGCAGGACUGAGACGGGGGACCCCAGGAGGCUGUGGGAGCACAAAGGGGCCACUUGACCCAGGCUGGGGGUCGGAGAGGCCUUCCUGAAGGAGGGCGCCCCUGAGCUGAGAUCUGAAGGACAAGCAGGAGUGAGUCAGUGGCCUGCUAGGGAGUCUCGCGUCCCAGGCCAAGGGACCAGCCUGUGCCAAGACCCCGAAUUAAGAGAGGACUUUCAUUGGCCCGAUAAUUCAGUCGGUUAUUUAGUCAUUCCACAAACAUUUGUUUAGCCCUGACCCUAGGCCAGUCCCCGUGCCGGUCCAGAGAUGUGACUCACACUUCUUCCUGCUCUGAUAGACCUCAUGGGGGGGGGACACUGGCAGGAUCACACACACAGGCCCAGCGUUCACUUCCUGAGCAUCUACAAUGUCACAGGCGCUGUGUGAGGGCCCUCAGAUGGAAUAGCUCACUUAACCCAGAUGAGACCUCGGUUCACCCACCUGUCAUCCCACGACAGACAUAAAACCCAGGAGCUGAGACUGGAAUAGAGACGAAGACAGAGACAAAUGAGGCGAGCACGUUUAUUCACCCUUCCUUCCACGGGUUCCCUGUAGAGUCAAGGCUAAGGCGCACUGGUUGUCAGACGCAUCCUUUUCUGUCCCACCAACAGGGAAAAAAAAGCUGCCAAUAAAACUACGACACAAUAUUUCCUUAUCACUUACAAUUUUUAUUGUACACUUAUUGAAAGAGCUGCUUGUAGACUGACUUAGAAAAUACACAUUUUUACCAUAUGUCACUCAUGUGUGCAUCGAACUAGGAAGAUACAAGGGAAAUAAAUUGACUAAGCUGUUCCCAAAACCACACGGCCUGACUCUGUGGAGUCACUUCUGCCUCCGAGGAGUGGACGUGUACGCUUUGCCACACCACGUGUCCUCCGUGCCAUCAGCGGCGCCAAUGAUGCUAUUAAAAGCAGCUCCAUUAUCACUUCCAGGCAGUGACAGCUACGUCACAAUGGCUGCCUGGCUGACAGCAAUUGUAAGGUGCCAUCAAGUGUGACUCUUCCUGAUUUAGAAUUGCUAAAAUGUGGAGGGGAAGAUGCAUCUUAGAAUCAGUGAAGGUAUUUCCUCAGUGUCCUCUCUGUGUCCACCAGGCUGGGAACGCAGCGAUGACAGAGCCAGCCCUUUUAUCCAGGGAGGAAGUUCACGCAGAUAUGCACCCUGUGUGCCAAGGGCCUGUUGGAUGAUGUUCGGGACCCAGCAAUGACCAAGACAGCCCCAGCUGUGUCCCCAGACAGUGAGGACCCACAGGGUAAGCGCUUCCCUCGGAAUAUCUACACACUGUGGCUUCACCUUCUCUCCAUUCGCCAGAAUCCCGGGGAAACCUGAAAUUAGUCCCUAGGGUUUCAUUCAUUCAUUCAAAGACAUAGGCUGCCUCCUGUGUGCUCGGCACGGUUCUAGGCACUGACACGUGGAGAGUAGACACAGACGGCCCUCAUGGAGCUUAUAUUUUUUGAAAGAUAAAGAUAAUAAACAAAAAUAAGAUAGUGUCAAACAGUGAUGAGGAAAAAGAAGGCAGCAAGGGUGAGAGAUGGGUGAGGGGGUCAAUGAACUGCCUGUAACCGUGGCCACCAACAAUUUCUCCCAUCUCUGGAGGCACAUGCCCCUCUUCACAUCAUCCUCUCCCCUUGCUUCUGGGCUGGCCUCGUGACUUGCUUUGAUCAACAGACUGCAGCAGAAGUGACGUUCUGGGCCUUCCAAGCCCAGGCCUUCCGAGGGCAGCUUCUGCUUUCUCCUCCUCAGAGCCCUGAGCUGCCAUAGAGGUCGUGCCACCCUGCUGGAGAAACAGAGGCCACGUGGAGGUGAGCCUGAAGCCAUCUAGGACAUUCCUGCCCCAGCUGAGCUCCAGCUGAAGGCAGCCAAUACCACAUGGGAGUAGAAGAGCCAUCCAGCUGAGCCCAGCCAACCCAGAGACUUGUGAGAAAUAACAAAUCGUUAUUUUAGGCCACUAAACAGCCAAGUGAUUCGGGGGAGGAAGUGUACUGUUUUUGAUAGAGUGGUCCGGAAGGCCUGUCUGAGAAAGUGACAUUCUAUUCCAGCAGAGAUCUGAAUGAAGCGUGAAAAUUAAUCCAGGGAAACCGAGUUUAAAAUGGAGUGGGGAGACUGGAAGGGGGAGCUCUCACGAAGCACCACGGGAGGUCAGUUACAGGAAAGAGUCAAUUACAGACCCCAAAGGAAAGCAGUUGUCACUAGGAAGAAUCAUCUUCUACAGACCCCAAGAAGAAAUGUACGUUGCAUCCCAAAGAGAAAUCGACUACCCCAGGAACUCAGCCAAUGAGAAGCCAUCACCACCUUGAACUCUUGCUUUUCUCCAAUGGACUUUCAUUCAAAACAUCCCUUCCCAAUUUCCUCCUUUCUCCCUAUGAAAUAAGGUUCUCUCUUUUGAUUGUUGGACGUGCCUAUGGCUUUUGCCAUAGCAUGCAGGUCCUGAAUUGAAAUUCUUUGGUUUUCCCCUAAUAAACUCAUUUUGCAGUUAAAA
Equus caballus (horse) is the source of this 4339-nucleotide non-coding RNA. Lineage: Eukaryota; Metazoa; Chordata; Mammalia; Perissodactyla; Equidae. The record is from RefSeq and is a predicted model, not a curated record.